RNAcentral lists this non-coding RNA (91 nucleotides) under Ruminococcus flavefaciens. Its description in RNAcentral is "TPP riboswitch (THI element)". It matches the Rfam family "TPP riboswitch aptamer (THI element)", at positions 8 to 91 of the family's 105-position model. From Rfam's summary of the family: Vitamin B(1) in its active form thiamin pyrophosphate (TPP) is an essential coenzyme that is synthesised by coupling of pyrimidine and thiazole moieties in bacteria. The previously detected thiamin-regulatory element, thi box was extended, resulting in a new, highly conserved RNA secondary structure, the THI element, which is widely distributed in eubacteria and also occurs in some archaea. Analysis of operon structures identified a large number of new candidate thiamin-regulated genes, mostly transporters, in various prokaryotic organisms. Lineage: Bacteria; Bacillati; Bacillota; Clostridia; Eubacteriales; Oscillospiraceae. The record is from RNAcentral.
UGCAGGGGAGCUUGUGGAGCAGGCUGAGAGGAAGGCGAGACCUUCGACCCGUUACCUGAUUUGGAUAAUGCCAACGUAGGGAGCAGAACAA